Molecule: ribosomal RNA, 497 nt
Filed under: uncultured bacterium
Lineage: Bacteria
Description: partial 16S ribosomal RNA
Rfam family: Bacterial small subunit ribosomal RNA
Source: RNAcentral
GAUGAACGCUGGCGGCGUGCCUAAUACAUGCAAGUCGAGCGAACAGACGAGGAGCUUGCUCCUCUGACGUUAGCGGCGGACGGGUGAGUAACACGUGGAUAACCUACCUAUAAGACUGGGAUAACUUCGUGAAACCGGAGCUAAUACCGGAUAAUAUAUUGAACCGCAUGGUUCAAUAGUGAAAGACGGUUUUGCUGUCACUUAUAGAUGGAUCCGCGCCGCAUUAGCUAAUUGGUAAGGUAACGGCUUACCAAGGCAACGAUGCGUAGCCGACCUGAGAGGGUGAUCGGCCACACUGGAACUGAGACACGGUCCAGACUCCUACGGGAGGCAGCAGUAGGGAAUCUUCCGCAAUGGGCGAAAGCCUGACGGAGCAACGCCGCGUGAGUGAUGAAGGUCUUCGGAUCGUAAAACUCUGUUAUUAGGGAAGAACAAAUGUGUAAGUAACUAUGCACGUCUUGACGGUACCUAAUCAGAAAGCCACGGCUAACUACGUG